UCCAGUGACUAUCGCGAAGGGGCACCACCCGUUGCCAUCCCGACCACGGUCGUUAAGCCCUUCCGCGCCGAUGGUACUGCCCGGGUCACCGGGUGGGAGAGUAGGUCAUCGCUGGAC
Molecule: ribosomal RNA, 117 nt
Filed under: candidate division KSB3 bacterium
Lineage: Bacteria
Source: RNAcentral